This 284-nucleotide ribosomal RNA is filed under the name uncultured bacterium. RNAcentral's name for it is "partial 16S ribosomal RNA". It matches the Rfam family "Bacterial small subunit ribosomal RNA", at positions 97 to 381 of the family's 1533-position model. The record is from RNAcentral.
GGCGAACGGGUGAGUAACGCGUGAGCAAUCUACCUUAAUUACAGGGAUAGCCCGAGGAAACUCGGAUUAAUACCUGAUAUUCUUUACAUUUCGCAUGAAAUCAAAAGGAAAGGUCAGCCGAACUAAGAUGAGCUCGCGUUCUAUCAGCUAGUUGGUGAGGUAAAAGCUCACCAAGGCAACGACGGAUAGCUGGUCUGAGAGGACGAUCAGCCACACUGGGACUGAGACACGGCCCAGACUCCUACGGGAGGCUGCAGCAGGGAAUAUUGCGCAAUGAGCGAAAG